This 510-nucleotide ribosomal RNA is filed under the name uncultured bacterium. RNAcentral describes it as "partial 16S ribosomal RNA". It matches the Rfam family "Bacterial small subunit ribosomal RNA", at positions 28 to 507 of the family's 1533-position model. The record is from RNAcentral.
GACGAACGCUGGCGGCGUGCUUAACACAUGCAAGUCGAACGAAGAGCGAUGGAAGUUUGCUUCUAUCAAUCUUAGUGGCGAACGGGUGAGUAACGCGUAAUCAACCUGUCCUUCAGAGGGGGACACCAGUUGGAAACGACUGUUAAUGCUGCAUACUAUCUAAUCUCGGCAUCGAGGAAAGAUGAAAGGUGGCCUCUAUUUAUAAGCUAUCACUGAAGGAGGGGAUUGCGUCUGAUUAGCUAGGUGGCGGGGUAACGGCCCACCAAGGCGAUGAUCAGUAGGCGGUCUGGGAGGAUGAACGGCCACAUUGGGACUGGGACACGGCCCAGACGCCUACGGGAGGCAGCAGAGGGGAAUCUUGCGCAAAAGAGGAGAGACUGACGGAGAAACGCCGCAUGAGUGAGGACGGCCUUCGGGUUGUAAAGCUCUGUUAAUCGGGACGAAAGGCCUUCUUGCGAACAGUUAGAAGGAUUGACGGUACCGGAGUAGAAAGCCACGGCUAACUACGUG